UACGUAGGGUGCAAGCGUUGUCCGGAAUUAUUGGGCGUAAAGAGCUCGUAGGCGGUUUGUCGCGUCUGCUGUGAAAACUCGGGGCUUAACUCCGGGCCUGCAGUGGGUACGGGCAGACUAGAGUGCGGUAGGGGAGACUGGAAUUCCUGGUGUAGCGGUGAAAUGCGCAGAUAUCAGGAGGAACACCGGUGGCGAAGGCGGGUCUCUGGGCCGAUACUGACGCUGAGUGAGCGAAAGCCAGGGGAGCAAACGGG
RNAcentral lists this ribosomal RNA (254 nucleotides) under uncultured bacterium. Its description in RNAcentral is "partial 16S ribosomal RNA". It matches the Rfam family "Bacterial small subunit ribosomal RNA", at positions 524 to 776 of the family's 1533-position model. The record is from RNAcentral.